CGAAGCGUGCGAUUGGAUUGCACGUCUAAGCAGUAAGGCUGAGUAUUAGGCAAAUCCGGUACUCGUUAAGGCUGAGCUGUGAUGGGGAGAAGACAUUGUGUCUUCGAGUCGUUGAUUUCACACUGCCGAGAAAAGCCUCUAGAUAGAAAAUAGGUGCCCGUACCGCAAACCGACACAGGUAGUCAAGAUGAGAAUUCUAAGGUGAGCGAGCGAACUCUCGUUAAGGAACUCGGCAAAAUGACCCCGUAACUUCGGGAGAAGGGGUGCUCUUUAGGGUUAACGCCCAGAAGAGCCGCAGUGAAUAGGCCCAAGCGACUGUUUAUCAAAAACACAGGUCUCUGCUAAACCGUAAGGUGAUGUAUAGGGGCUGACGCCUGCCCGGUGCUGGAAGGUUAAGAGGAGUGGUUAGCUUCUGCGAAGCUACGAAUCGAAGCCCCAGUAAACGGCGGCCGUAACUAUAACGGUCCUAAGGUAGCGAAAUUCCUUGUCGGGUAAGUUCCGACCCGCACGAAAGGCGUAACGAUUUGGGCACUGUCUCAACGAGAGACUCGGUGAAAUCAUAGUACCUGUGAAGAUGCAGGUUACCCGCGACAGGACGGAAAGACCCCGUGGAGCUUUACUGUAGCCUGAUAUUGAAAUUCGGCACAGCUUGUACAGGAUAGGUAGGAGCCUUUGAAACGUGAGCGCUAGCUUACGUGGAGGCGCUGGUGGGAUACUACCCU
RNAcentral lists this ribosomal RNA (722 nucleotides) under Staphylococcus aureus. RNAcentral's name for it is "partial 23S ribosomal RNA". It matches the Rfam family "Bacterial large subunit ribosomal RNA", at positions 1487 to 2206 of the family's 2925-position model. Lineage: Bacteria; Bacillati; Bacillota; Bacilli; Caryophanales; Staphylococcaceae. The record is from RNAcentral.